UGGGGGAUCGUCCAAGGGUAGGACUGCGGAUUCUGAUUCCGCCAAUCGGGGUUCAAAUCCCUGUCCCUCAGCCA
This 74-nucleotide transfer RNA is filed under the name Pseudomonadota bacterium. Its description in RNAcentral is "Proteobacteria bacterium (groundwater metagenome) tRNA-Gln". It matches the Rfam family "tRNA". Rfam says of the family: Transfer RNA (tRNA) molecules are approximately 80 nucleotides in length. Their secondary structure includes four short double-helical elements and three loops (D, anti-codon, and T loops). Lineage: Bacteria; Pseudomonadati; Pseudomonadota. The record is from RNAcentral.